Molecule: ribosomal RNA, 372 nt
Filed under: uncultured organism
Description: bacterial SSU rRNA
Rfam family: Bacterial small subunit ribosomal RNA
Source: RNAcentral
CAGAGACUGCAAGCGUUAUUCGGAUUCACUGGGCGUAAAGGGUGCGCAGGCGGCCAAGUGUGUUAGGCGUGAAAGCCCGGAGCUUAACUCCGGAAUUGCACCUAAAACUACAUGGCUAGAGCAUUGGAGAGGGUAGCGGAAUUCACGGUGUAGCAGUGAAAUGCGUAGAUAUCGUGAGGAACACCAGAGGCGAAGGCGGCUACCUGGACAAUUGCUGACGCUCAGGCACGAAAGCGUGGGGGGCAAAAGGGAUUAGAUACCCCUGUAGUCCACGCCCUAAACGGUGCACACUAGGUCUUGGCGGAUUCGACCCCACCAGGGCCCAAGCUAACGCGUUAAGUGUGCCGCCUGAGGACUACGGUCGCAAGACUA